UGAUAUAAUUUACCUUUCAAAAAAAAAAAAAAAUGAUGAAAAUUAUGGUAGCGUUAAUCUAAAAUACCCAUUUACAGUCUGUUUUUACAUCUCUCAUCCUACAUUUCUCUACUCGUACUCUCUCUCUCUCUACAUCUCUGAUCACACCGUGAUCAUCACAGGCUAUGCAAGGAACAGAGGCGACGCCGAUUAGGCAGAAUCUCAGCAGAAAUGUUGUAUAUCUUAUGAGCAUUUGUUAUGUCCAAGUUCUUUCAACAUCAUUGUGUUUCUGGCUCCAUUAUGUGAUACGACCACUUUAAAAGUGCUGCGUCUCUGUUGGAUUUCAAAGUGCCUGUUUUUAUUGCAUUAUGAGACACUGACACCUCUCCUUGUUGCCGAACUUUGAAAAUCCAUGACGACCUGCUUGUGUGUAUAGACAUGCUAUAUUUCCAUGCUUACCAGAACCUUUUCUGUCUGGAAGUGUAUAUAUUCAUCUGCCACCUCUUUUCUUAAUGCGCUGCAAUUUAACAGGGAACCUUUCAAUCUCAUUUGUCGGGUGUCUCCGAGGUAUUACGCUAUUGAUCAAUCUCCGGACUCCUCUCUAUUUCCAAUUACACAAGCAUAGUUGCAGACAAAUUUCUGCAACCCUCAAACUGCAACAGAGACUUUUUACUGCAACAAUGUUGGUUCCAUGCUUUCCUGUGAAUAGAACACUCUACUGCUCCAAAUGCCUCAAACAGAACAAAUGGAAUCUACGAAUGAAUGCUGUGGGAAAAAUGAGAAAUAUACUGGGAGAAGAGGUCCAGAGUUACAAGGCUCAAAUGAAUUGACCAGAAUACUAUCCUAUUUCAGGCAACCCCUAUAUGGCAAUUGCAGAGGAACAAGGCCUAAAGAUCUUCAAGUAAAUUUGAUUGGAGGACACGAGGAAAGAUUGAGUAUCAGCGGAGAUGGUUAAAGACUUGAUCAAGCGAAUGACAUCAGAGGCAAGUCGAAUCUAGAAUCAAAAUAUUCUCCUGAUUUUCGUUCUUCUCUUGGUGAAUUUCGUCGCUUUCAACGGUGUUGGAUUUCAUCGCUUUCAACGGUGUUGGAUUUGCUUAUUUGAGAAAUUUCAACAUUAUAGUGGUGAAAUUCACAGUUGAAAAGUGAUGAAAUUCACUAGUUGUGGAGAACAUCAGAGUGAUGGAAAGGAUUCGGGACUGCAAAUCAAUGGCUGGAAGUUACAGAGAUCAAAGGUGAGUUGGACCUCUGCUGCACUGGAGCCUAACCAGAUGCUAUGGUUAUAGUAACAUAAUCUUCAUAACACGCUUAACUUAGUGCAGUGAUAACAAAUUUUGGCUCCUUCAUUUUCUCAGUUAUAGUUGUUUUUUGGUUUGCAUAAAUGAUAUGGUGGAACCUAUUUUGAAGUGAAUGAAGGAAAAAUACUUCGGAAAUUUUAAGGUUAAUGACUAAUAUUUGAAAACUUAUUGGGAGCUUUCUUCGUGGACAGAAAAUUCUACAUUUUUCCUCUACUAUUUUUCAGACCGCCUUUUUGGUUGUGCUUUCUAAAUGUAGGAAAUUAGAAUGUUCUCGUGCUUUCUGCCUACAGCAACAUUUAUUGCAUUUUAUCCUCAAGACAGCAAUAUCAUUGCCGUUGGCAUGGAGGACUCUUCUAUCCAAAUAUAUUUCCAAUUAGAAGAGGUUGUCUUCAGUUUAAAUUGAAGCCUAAUGUUUGUGAGUGAGUUUGCUCAUAGAUACGACAAUUAUUCGAUUAACAUUUUGCAUGUUCCAUUACAGAGGUCAAAAGCAUGCUCAAAAGCCACCAGGAAAGAAUAACAGGCCUCGCCUUCUCUAACGUUCUAAAUGUACUUGUAUCUUCAGGAGCUGAUUCUCGGGUAAGAUAUUGGAGGCAAUAUGUAUAUCUAUUUUUUUUAAUAUUUUAUUUAGAAAAUGCAGUAACUCAUAUUUAAGAAUUUAAAAGAAAAGGAAAUACCAAGUGAUGGCCAAUAGUAUGCAGAACUCCACUAUCUCUUACUUAGCUUGCGUUUGGCUCUUUACUUUAAUUUUCUUCUGUCUCCAAAUGGUAGAUGUUGAUGCCACCUUAUCAUAGACUGCUAGUGCAGCCCUGGUUGGGAUGAUUCUUUAAAAUCACUUGUAAUGGUUGGUUUUUUCCAUGUUAGUUUAAUCAGGGAUAUUCCUAGACUUCUGAUAUUUUUAUUGGCAAUUUAUGUUUCUAAAAUAGUGGAUUCCACCAAAACCAAGUGCUGCAUAUUCCUGUGAUAGCCAGUCAAUAUUCGUCGGUUUUGAUGAUGGAAGUGUCGGUAAUCUUACUGCUUGAGCUUCACUUCAAAUGAGAUGCAUAAUUAACUCUACUUCUUAUCUACCUGCCAAUCCAAGGGAGUACUUCCACAAUUUCUUUUAGACGAUUAAAAUAGGAAAGGCUUUUUUGUUUUCUUCUUGCAAGUAUCUGACAGAAUAAUUUGACAGUUCGAGAGUCCAUCCACUUGUCAUUCAAAACCUAAUCAGUUUGCAUUGGGUCCUUCUGAUGGUGGAGUUUGCGUAGUUGAACCACUAGAAUCAGAAGGCAAAUGGGGCACCUCUCCUCCACACGAAGACGGUGCUGGGCCUUCCACCGCAUUUGAAGCCAGCCAGUUUGGAUCUUGCCAUCACCCCCAACUUUUCCAUGGGAGACUAGGACCUGAGGGUGUAGAAUACUCGAAGCGGUCAUACUAGAGUUAGUUCAAUGGUACAAGGAAUGUCAAAUCAAUUUGAAUCCAAGACAUGGCGCUAAAAGUUCUCUCAUUUGUACUAAUAUGUAAAAAAAUCAGUACAGUGUAGAUCUGUAGGAGUCAUUUGUGAGAAGGGAAUGUGUUUUGAAUUCAGUGGAGAGUUCAUGAGGAAGUAAAGAAUGUGCUUGGCUAAUGGCCUUGAUUCUUGUUUCUUCUUCUUUUUUUAUCCCUUCGGGUUACUCCAGAA
Long non-coding RNA from Cornus florida, 2931 nucleotides. RefSeq lists it as uncharacterized. Lineage: Eukaryota; Viridiplantae; Streptophyta; Magnoliopsida; Cornales; Cornaceae. The transcript is spliced from 3 exons. The record is from RefSeq and is a predicted model, not a curated record.